UAGAACAUCUUUGUAUAUUGAAAUAUACUUGAAAAAAAAAUGAAUGUAUUCCCCCGCCCCCCAAAGACUAGCAUGCUUCACUCAGUGUGGUAGACAGACACAUUUCUUUAGCUCUGUGUCUGUGUCUAUAAGGGACAUGAUGGGCUGCCAGUCUCCCUUCUGAGUCUUCGAGGAAGGUGGGGCUCUUCUGCCCUGCCUGCUGUGUGACAGCCUUCGAGCAUCUUGAGUGCGGUUAGGCUAUGCUUUAGAUACAUGUAGGGAGAAAGCAGGACAUUGUGGCUGAGUCAACCCACCUCAAGGUGAAGAGGAAUGUUGCUAAUUUUCUAGCAGAUUAGACCAGCAUUGAUAUUCAAACUGAAAAUACUAGGCCUCAAAAGACACCAUUAAGCUCCUGGAUAGCUUUUUGCCUUUUUAUUUAAGGGACUUCUAUAGUGGCAAACAGUUGCUUGGUGCUGUAUUUACCAAGUGAGAGGGUUUGCUUUUUUUUUUCUCACAAAAUUAUGGGAGCAUUCUAGGUAGUUCUCGAGACCUUCGGUUUUAGAAGAGGGAAAUAAAAUUAGGAUUUCCCAAAGAUGAUAUAUACCACGUUCAGUUGCUUUUCUAUCUUUUGCUCAAUGAUAGAACACAUUUUUUAAAUCUCUUUACCCUUUCAUGUGAAAAAUUUAGAACUGUGAAAUAUUUAGGAACAAACCAUGGAAAGCACACUGGAGUGGAAGGGAAUGUCUCCAACCCAGGUAAAGCUUACGGCUCUGUGUUUGGACUCCGGACUUCUGCUGCGCACCCAUAGGUUACCAGAGAAUGUAAUUUUCCCAGGACAUGUUGAGUCCCUACAGCAGAGACGAUGGAUUUUACAAUAGUGCCUCCGAACACAGACACAGCAGGGUUUUCUUUGCCUUUCCAAGCAGUGUUUACCGUCGCUGCUCUUUCAGCCCUUGUCUUUUUGCAGAUGGGUUACUUGGGGGUAAUUUUCCUCAGAGAGAGUUUAUUGCACACAAGAUGAAGUUUUAUUACAGGGCUUAUAGGAGUCAAGGUGUAAAGUCUCCAAAGACAUCGAAGAGUGGAUGCCGAGCAUCUAGGCUGUUCCCCGCUCGAAUGUCAGAGGUCUCACAGGGUCAGAGGAUCCUUGGAUCUAGGGGGUGUUUCUCCGAAAAAAAAAAACAAAGUCUUAUUAGCUAGGAGAGGUGAUGUACACAUUCUAGAUUCUAGGAAGUGCUCAUUAUCGAUUCUCCAUUCGGUUGAGGGCCAUUAGUUGAUCUGUCGCUUGGAUCUUCUGGAAAUGUCUUCAUUUGUAGCAUCCUUUAUUCUCCUACCAGGAUGAAGAGGAGUUCAGCGUUUCUGUCUGAUGGUUGUGAUUGCCUUGUGGGUGUGAUACAUGGGUGGUGGUUGAGGGAUCCUUAUGUUGGGGAAGGAACUAUUUUCUUUCCAUUUCUUCAUUAAAAGUUGACUAUGUUCCGGAUGUUGGGGGUCCGCAGUAUGGGUUGUUUAUGGUAUUCAGUGAUUAAGACCAUGUGGAUAUGGUAUUUUUUUUUCUUUUGUGAAAAUGAUUUUUCUUUCUCUUUGGUGAUUUAAAAAAAUUUGUUACACCUGUUUCGCUUUGUAACUUUACAUCUUCAUCACCUUCAUGUAACGUCUAGGAUCAUUUCCAAUAAAUAUGUUGCUGCCGUU
Molecule: long non-coding RNA, 1665 nt
Filed under: Rattus norvegicus (Norway rat)
Lineage: Eukaryota; Metazoa; Chordata; Mammalia; Rodentia; Muridae
Description: long non-coding RNA NONRATT011148
Source: RNAcentral